RNAcentral lists this ribosomal RNA (114 nucleotides) under Lepisosteus oculatus (spotted gar). Lineage: Eukaryota; Metazoa; Chordata; Actinopteri; Semionotiformes; Lepisosteidae. The record is from RNAcentral.
CUCAGCAGCCAUAUCACCCUGCAACUCACAACUGGCAACCCAGUGAAGCUAAGCAGGUGUGAGCCUGGUUAGUACCUGGAUGGGAGACCUCCUAGGAAAAGGUUGCUGCUGGAA